AGUGACGAUAGCCUAGGAGAUACACCUGUACCCAUGCCGAACACAGAAGUUAAGCCCUAGAACGCCGGAAGUAGUUGGGGGUUGCCCCCUGUGAGAUAUGGUAGUCGCUUAGC
Molecule: ribosomal RNA, 113 nt
Filed under: Streptococcus oralis
Lineage: Bacteria; Bacillati; Bacillota; Bacilli; Lactobacillales; Streptococcaceae
Also listed under: 1 other name
Source: RNAcentral